Molecule: ribosomal RNA, 1344 nt
Filed under: metagenome
Description: bacterial LSU rRNA
Rfam family: Bacterial large subunit ribosomal RNA
Source: RNAcentral
UUAGUAGCGAAGUUCCUGAUUCCACACUGCCAAGAAAAGCCUCUAGCGAGGUGAGAGGUGCCCGUACCGCAAACCGACACAGGUAGGCGAGGAGAGAAUCCUAAGGUGAUCGAGAGAACUCUCGUUAAGGAACUCGGCAAAAUGACCCCGUAACUUCGGGAGAAGGGGUGCUCUGUUAGGGUGCAAGCCCGAGAGAGCCGCAGUGAAUAGGCCCAGGCGACUGUUUAGCAAAAACACAGGUCUCUGCGAAGCCGUAAGGCGAAGUAUAGGGGCUGACGCCUGCCCGGUGCUGGAAGGUUAAGAGGAGCGCUUAGCGUAAGCGAAGGUGCGAAUUGAAGCCCCAGUAAACGGCGGCCGUAACGAUAACGGUCCUAAGGUAGCGAAAUUCCUUGUCGGGUAAGUUCCGACCCGCACGAAAGGCGCAACGAUCUGGGCACUGUCUCAACGAGAGACUCGGUGAAGUUAUAGUACCUGUGAAGAUGCAGGUUACCCGCGACAGGACGGAAAGACCCCGUGGAGCUUUACUGCAGCCUGAUAUUGAAUGUUGGUACAGCUUGUACAGGAUAGGUAGGAGCCUUGGAAACCGGAGCGCCAGCUUCGGUGGGGGCAUCGGUGGGAUACUACCCUGGCUGUAUUGACCUUCUAACCCGCCGCCCUUAUCGGGCGGGGAGACAGUGUCAGGUGGGCAGUUUGACUGGGGCGGUCGCCUCCUAAAAGGUAACGGAGGCGCCCAAAGGUUCCCUCAGAAUGGUUGGAAAUCAUUCGCAGAGUGUAAAGGCACAAGGGAGCUUGACUGCGAGACCUACAAGUCGAGCAGGGACGAAAGUCGGGCUUAGUGAUCCUGUGGUUCCGCAUGGAAGGGCCAUCGCUCAACGGAUAAAAGCUACCCCGGGGAUAACAGGCUUAUCUCCCCCAAGAGUCCACAUCGACGGGGAGGUUUGGCACCUCGAUGUCGGCUCAUCGCAUCCUGGGGCUGUAGUCGGUCCCAAGGGUUGGACUGUUCGCCCAUUAAAGCGGUACGCGAGCUGGGUUCAGAACGUCGUGAGACAGUUCGGUCCCUAUCCGUCGCGGGCGCAGGAAAUUUGAGAGGAGCUGUCCUUAGUACGAGAGGACCGGGAUGGACGCACCGCUGGUGUACCAGUUGUUCUGCCAAGGGCAUCGCUGGGUAGCUAUGUGCGGACGGGAUAAGUGCUGAAAGCAUCUAAGCAUGAAGCCCCCCUCAAGAUGAGAUUUCCCAUUCCGCAAGGAAGUAAGAUCCCUUAAAGAUGAUCAGGUUGAUAGGUCUGAGGUGGAAGUGUGGCGACACAUGGAGCUGACAGAUACUAAUCGAUCGAGGGCUUAACC